RNAcentral lists this transfer RNA (60 nucleotides) under Alitta succinea. RNAcentral's name for it is "tRNA-Gln". Lineage: Eukaryota; Metazoa; Annelida; Polychaeta; Phyllodocida; Nereididae. The record is from RNAcentral.
UAUAGUGUACACUGCACGUAGACCUUUGAAGUCUAAAGAAGAAAACAUCUCUUAUUACAA